GAUUUCUGGCGAACCGUUGCGGCCCGUGUCCUCCGGGGCGUGAGUGCCGUGUCGUGUUUGUCAUCCUUCCAGAGAGCUGCGUCUACCAUUCAUUUGGCCGGACGUACGCGAUCUGGAUCGAUUACUUUGAAAAAAUUAGAGUGUUUAAAGCAGGCUUUCGCUAUGAAUACAUUAGCAUGGAAUAAUAAUUUAGGACUUUGGUUCUAUUUUGUUGGUUUCUAGGACUGAAGUAAUGAUUGAUAGGGACAGUUGGGGGUGCUAGUAUUCCGCGGCCAGAGGUGAAAUUCUUGGAUUCGCGGAAGACUAACUACUGCGAAAGCAUU
Molecule: ribosomal RNA, 323 nt
Filed under: Trinematidae sp.
Lineage: Eukaryota; Cercozoa; Imbricatea; Euglyphida; Trinematidae
Also listed under: 2 other names
Description: SSU rRNA
Rfam family: Eukaryotic small subunit ribosomal RNA (bases 111-323)
Source: RNAcentral